This 433-nucleotide ribosomal RNA is filed under the name uncultured bacterium. RNAcentral's name for it is "partial 16S ribosomal RNA". It matches the Rfam family "Bacterial small subunit ribosomal RNA", at positions 29 to 507 of the family's 1533-position model. The record is from RNAcentral.
AGCGAACGCUGGCGGCAGGCCUAACACAUGCAAGUCGAACGGAACCUUCGGGGUUAGUGGCGGACGGGUGAGUAACACGUGGGAACGUGCCCUUUGGUUCGGAACAACUCAGGGAAACUUGAGCUAAUACCGGAUGUGCCCUUCGGGGGAAAGAUUUAUCGCCAUUGGAGCGGCCCGCGUCUGAUUAGCUAGUUGGUGAGGUAACGGCCCACCAAGGCGACGAUCAGUAGCUGGUCUGAGAGGAUGAUCAGCCACACUGGGACUGAGACACGGCCCAGACUCCUACGGGAGGCAGCAGUGGGGAAUCUUGCGCAAUGGGCGAAAGCCUGACGCAGCCAUGCCGCGUGAAUGAUGAAGGUCUUAGGAUUGUAAAAUUCUUUCAGCGGGGACGAUAAUGACGGUACCCGCAGAAGAAGCUCCGGCUAACUUCGUG